ACAAAACCUAGACAAAAAAGAUAAAUUAUGCACAGAUCAGCAAAAAAGAAGGGUGGCAUGAGCCAAUCGGAGAUUGAGAUCUGUAACAACUACGCCAAAGGUUGUUGUGUAGGUAAGAAGGACCCAGAUUUCGCCACGCGGACUGACAUGGCAAUAGGAAUGGUACCAGAUGCAAAACUCACCAAUGGAUAGCCCAGAUUCUACCAUUACGAUCAACAACUCUGAUCGUUCCU
Molecule: long non-coding RNA, 233 nt
Filed under: Carica papaya (papaya)
Lineage: Eukaryota; Viridiplantae; Streptophyta; Magnoliopsida; Brassicales; Caricaceae
Description: long non-coding RNA (CPAP_LNC008881)
Source: RNAcentral